This 696-nucleotide ribosomal RNA is filed under the name Triticum aestivum (bread wheat). RNAcentral's name for it is "partial small subunit ribosomal RNA". Lineage: Eukaryota; Viridiplantae; Streptophyta; Magnoliopsida; Poales; Poaceae. The record is from RNAcentral.
AUGCACUUUGAUGGUUCAAAGAUGUGCACCCAUUUGGGAGCCGGCAUUGUCCUCACCUCUCCCAAAGGCGACAAGCUCAGAUACACAUUGCAAAUCCAUUUUGCUGCCUCCAACAAUGUGGCUGAGUAUGAGGCACUAAUACACAAACUCUGGCUUGCCAAAGAGCUCAGCAUUUGCUGGAUUCUGUGUUACGGUGACUCCGUCUUGGGGGUCCAGCAGUCGUCUGGCGACUGGGACACCAAGGAUGCAAACAUGGCAAGCUACUACUUCCUCGUCCAGCAACUCAACGGAUAUUUUCAAGGGUGCGAAUUGCUCCAUGUGCCACGAAGCGAUAACAAGCAAGCAGUUGCUCUGGCGCGGAUUGGCUCCACCCGGCAAGCCAUUCCAGCCGGCGUAUCCUUCCAGCGACUCAUCAAGCCAUCCAUCAAGCCUUCACCAGAGUCAGAUUCUAUCUUCAUGCCGGCUACUCCUAAAAUAGUCAGAUUCGGCUCCAAAUUAUCGGCAAUCGGCCCGGGGACUUCGGCAGGCGGCCCGGGGACUGUAGCAGUCGCACCCGGCCUGGGGACUUCAGAUUUUGGCCCGGAGACUUCGGCAGUCGGCCCGGGGACUUCAGCAGUCGGCUCGGGGACUGCACCAAUACAGCAAGUGGCGGCCGAAUCCAGCCCGCCACCUCUCAACCCAGCCGCCCCAGUGUAA